UCCCCCAGUAACUGCGAGUGAAGAGGGAAGAGCUCAUCAUUGGAAUCUGGCAGUGUUUUCACUGUCCGAGUUGUAGAUGAGGAGUAGUCCAUCUGGACUGCAUGGCGUCCAAGUACAAUAGGCCGUCAGUGGGACAUCAUAGAGGGUGACAAUCCCGUCCUUGAUGCCAAUGUGCAAGUCCGUUACGAUGGCUAUCUCAGAGAGUCGAGCAGUUUGGGAUUUGCUGCUUAAACAUGGGAGGUAGAUUCCUUCUAAAGCUAAAUACAGGCGAGAGACCGAUAGAGAACAAGUACCGCAAGGGAAAGAUGAAAUAGCACUCUGUGAAGGGAGUCAAAAGACGUGAAAUUGUUGCGAGAGAAGCGAUUCAAGUCAGCGUAGCUAGGCCCAUCAAGCCUCUUGCUUUGGACUAGCUUUGCCAGCGGUCUUGUCCUAAGAGACUUGACUUUUAUAUGUCCAGCCUGGUAUGUACAGGUAGCCCCAU
RNAcentral lists this ribosomal RNA (481 nucleotides) under Cantharellus camphoratus. RNAcentral describes it as "partial large subunit ribosomal RNA". It matches the Rfam family "Eukaryotic large subunit ribosomal RNA", at positions 76 to 543 of the family's 3401-position model. Lineage: Eukaryota; Fungi; Basidiomycota; Agaricomycetes; Cantharellales; Hydnaceae. The record is from RNAcentral.